This 468-nucleotide ribosomal RNA is filed under the name uncultured bacterium. RNAcentral describes it as "partial 16S ribosomal RNA". It matches the Rfam family "Bacterial small subunit ribosomal RNA", at positions 28 to 507 of the family's 1533-position model. The record is from RNAcentral.
GACGAACGCUGGCGGCGUGCUUAACACAUGCAAGUCGAACGGAAAGGCCCUGCUUUUGUGGGGUGCUCGAGUGGCGAACGGGUGAGUAACACGUGAGUAACCUGCCCUUGACUUUGGGAUAACAUCAGGAAACUGGGGCUAAUACCGGAUAGGAGCUCCUGCUGCAUGGUGGGGGUUGGUAAGUUUCGGCGGUUGGGGAUGGACUCGCGGCUUAUCAGCUUGUUGGUGGGGUAGUGGCUUACCAAGGCUUUGACGGGUAGCCGGCCUGAGAGGGUGACCGGCCACAUUGGGACUGAGAUACGGCCCAGACUCCUACGGGAGGCAGCAGUGGGGAAUAUUGCACAAUGGGCGGAAGCCUGAUGCAGCAACGCCGCGUGCGGGAUGACGGCCUUCGGGUUGUAAACCGCUUUCGCCUGUGACGAAGCGUGAGUGACGGUAAUGGGUAAAGAAGCACCGGCUAACUACGUG